CAAACCCAACUGGAUCUGACCGGA
Molecule: non-coding RNA, 24 nt
Filed under: Arabidopsis thaliana (thale cress)
Lineage: Eukaryota; Viridiplantae; Streptophyta; Magnoliopsida; Brassicales; Brassicaceae
Source: RNAcentral